Long non-coding RNA from Leopardus geoffroyi (Geoffroy's cat), 964 nucleotides. RefSeq lists it as uncharacterized. NCBI's taxonomy places the organism in Eukaryota, Metazoa, Chordata, Mammalia, Carnivora, Felidae. The transcript is spliced from 3 exons. The record is from RefSeq and is a predicted model, not a curated record.
CUUUGUGUGUGCACCGGUCUUAAAGAAGUGACUCAGUGGCAAGUGUAGUUCUCCGUCCCUUUCAGACCAGAUGGGUCACCGGCUGUUGAAAAAGAAUCAAAACCUCUGAAAAGGAAAUACAUGUACGUGGUUGAAAACUCAAAAGGCACCAAAAGUGAUACAGUGACAAGUUGUGUGUUUUCUCUUUCCUGGACGACCGAGAGCUUUCUGAGGGCGGGGCUCAGUUCCUGCCCCAGGAUCUGCCCCGGCACCUGGGGCAGCACCCGUUCAAGGGCAGAUGGCCCAGUGCUGCCUAGGAACAGGCUGACAAGCUGGGCAGCCUGGCAGUCCUCCCCCGGUCUCAGGCUCCCUGAGCCGAGGGGAGGAAGGAGGCUGCUGUCUUUAAAGACGACGUGAUGGACAGUUAUUGAAGGCGCUCAGCUGGGGCUCUACUCUAGUCUUAAUCUGAGCCGCCCUCAAGGAAAUCAUAACCAGCUCUUAAAAACAUGUUAAGACCAAAGCUGGUGUGUGUGUUUGAGCAGAGCUUCAGACAGCUACUUAACACUGGGGGCCUCCAGGCCUUUGAUUCCUCUACCCCUCGCUUUGCCCUCUCCCCCCAUCUGGCUGGUGUUUAUCGGCCAAGACGUUGUUUAAAUCACACUCGCUUCCUAUAAACAUUUCACUUGAAAUGCCAUCCGCUGCUCCAGAAAUUCAUCUAUCACCAGCUCGGGGGUGUACUUGAGAAGCCUCGGGGCGAUGACUCCCCAUUCUCUCUCUCCUGUCCCCCCAUCAUCCCUCCUCCCCUGACCCAUAUGCUCAGGUUUCACACUGUAAGAACAACUUCCCCUCCGUGUAACAGGGCACUUAGUGCCAGGAUUAUUUAUAACAGCUGAGGUGGCAACAGGCUGUGGGGAGCCGCCCGGCCCGUGGAUGCCUCCGCUUGCAAAGCUCAAUAAAUGGACCUGGCACACGGUUUACCACCUGA